CAAAUCUCUAUCGUAUCUUACGGUAAAGAAAAACCAGCUGUACUGGGCCAUGACGAAGCGGCAUACGCUAAAAACCGUCGUGCCGUACUGGUAUACUAAGAGAGUCGCAUGAGCAGUAACUUCAGAACUCACCUGUU
This 137-nucleotide small RNA is filed under the name uncultured Ewingella sp. RNAcentral's name for it is "CpoB/ybgF ICR thermometer". It matches the Rfam family "CpoB/ybgF ICR thermometer". From Rfam's summary of the family: Imprinting control region from upstream of cpoB/ybgF (tol/pal system protein). The record is from RNAcentral. Lineage: Bacteria; Pseudomonadati; Pseudomonadota; Gammaproteobacteria; Enterobacterales; Yersiniaceae.